This 444-nucleotide ribosomal RNA is filed under the name Triticum aestivum (bread wheat). RNAcentral's name for it is "partial small subunit ribosomal RNA". Lineage: Eukaryota; Viridiplantae; Streptophyta; Magnoliopsida; Poales; Poaceae. The record is from RNAcentral.
AUGGCGGAGGAAGAAAGGCUCGCUUCAGGAGGCAGAAGCCAGCAACGCGAUGAUGUUCAGAUUAGUUGUGGGUGGAAAGUCAGCGCCAGCUCCAGGGUGGGGUAUCCGGCGAUGCGGCUAGAAGGCGGGCAUCUGGAGGAACAGGUGACGGAGCUCGGGCAGCGGGGCGGGGUGGAUGGGUCGCAGCUGCGGGGCUCAAGGCACCAGCGACUGGGGUGGUUGGUGGAGGUGCGGAACUCAAAGGUGUCGUACGUUCGGUGUAUGAUCGGUCGAAACGAGAAGAAGUUCGACUACAUCGAUCAACCGCGUUGUCAAACGCUUCUGCUUUCGGUCUACGAGGAUUUGGCUAUGGUGGAAGAGUUAUUUGAGUGGAAAGCAACUUGGGGAAGGCUAGAAAUCAAGGUUCAAAUGGUAGGAAUGGUAUCUCUUGAUCUCAACACAUGA